This 459-nucleotide long non-coding RNA is filed under the name Brassica napus (rape). RNAcentral's name for it is "long non-coding RNA (BNAP_LNC021501)". Lineage: Eukaryota; Viridiplantae; Streptophyta; Magnoliopsida; Brassicales; Brassicaceae. The record is from RNAcentral.
ACUCAUGUUUUUUCCCCUUUGGUUUCUUCUUUACAUUUCUUUUUCUUUUUGUUUCUUUACUCACCGAAUCAAAUACGAUUUUGCUGCCUUCUCUCUCUUUCUCCGUGUUGUUUCAACUUUCGAGGCUCUGUUUUCUCUGUUUCACAAAUUACAAAGGUUUUCUUUCUCUCCUCUCUUUGUUCAUGUCCCUUUGCAGCAUAAAAUGAUGUGAAUUAUUGGUGAUUUCUAGUACUAUAUACUUGGCCUCUGCAGUUCAAGUCUUUUACUCAUUUAUUUGCGGAAUUGUUACCAUAACUUCUUUGAUCGCCCCGUUUCUAGCACCGAUCGUUGCCUUUCUUUCCCGCCGUUUUCUAGCACAAGUUCGGUUUUCUUUCUUUUCUUUUGCUCAACGAAAAGUUCGCUGGUUACUCAGAAUCUGAAUAAAAAACGAGGAGAGGAACAGGGAAGAAGACGAUAAGA